Molecule: ribosomal RNA, 510 nt
Filed under: uncultured Desulfobulbus sp.
Lineage: Bacteria; Pseudomonadati; Thermodesulfobacteriota; Desulfobulbia; Desulfobulbales; Desulfobulbaceae
Description: bacterial SSU rRNA
Rfam family: Bacterial small subunit ribosomal RNA
Source: RNAcentral
CGCCUUGCCAGCCCGCUCAGAACUUAAAGGAAGUUGACGGGGCCCGCACAAGCGGUGGAGUAUGUGGUUUAAUUCGAUGCAACGCGAAGAACCUUACCUGGUCUUGACAUCCCGGAGACCCUUAGGAAACUAGGGGGUGCUUCCAUCUGGAAGAAUCUGGAGACAGGUGCUGCAUGGCUGUCGUCAGCUCGUGUCGUGAGAUGUUGGGUUAAGUCCCGCAACGAGCGCAACCCUUGCCUUUAGUUGCCAGCAGUUCGGCUGGGCACUCUAAAGGGACUGCCGGUGUUAAACCGGAGGAAGGUGGGGAUGACGUCAAGUCCUCAUGGCCUUUAUGACCAGGGCUACACACGUACUACAAUGGCCGAUACAAAGGGCAGCGACACUGCGAGGUGAAGCCAAUCCCGUAAAAUCGGUCUCAGUCCGGAUUGGAGUCUGCAACUCGACUCCAUGAAGUUGGAAUCGCUAGUAAUCGUGGAUCAGCAUGCCACGGUGAAUACGUUCCCGGGCCUU